This 1213-nucleotide ribosomal RNA is filed under the name metagenome. Its description in RNAcentral is "SSU rRNA". It matches the Rfam family "Eukaryotic small subunit ribosomal RNA", at positions 558 to 1790 of the family's 1831-position model. The record is from RNAcentral.
AGUCUGGUGCCAGCAGCCGCGGUAAUUCCAGCUCCAAUAGCGUAUAUUAAAGUUGUUGUGGUUAAAAAGCUCGUAGUUGGAUCUCAGUUCGAUUCAGGCGGUCCACUUGCCAGUGGCUACUGCCUGACUGAACACUUUACCGAGUUGUCCUAUGGUGUUCUUCACCGAGCGUCAUAGGCGAUCGGUACGUUUACCUUGAAAAAAUUAGAGUGCUCAAAGCAGGCGUAACGCCCGAAUAAUGUUGCAUGGAAUAAUGGAAUAGGACCUCGGUUCUAUUUUGUUGGUCUUCGGAAUCAGAGGUAAUGAUCAAUAGGGACAGACGGGGACAUUCGUAUUGCGGCGCUAGAGGUGAAAUUCUUGGACCGUCGCAAGACGAACUAAAGCGAAAGCAUUUGUCAAGAAUGUUUUCAUUAAUCAAGAACGAAAGUUAGAGGUUCGAAGGCGAUCAGAUACCGCCCUAGUUCUAACCAUAAACGAUGCCAACCAGUAAUUCGUCUGAGUUCCUUAAAUGACUCGACGAGGGACUUCCGGGAAACCUAAGUCUUUCGGUUCCAGGGGAAGUAUGGUUGCAAAGCUGAAACUUAAAGAAAUUGACGGAAGGGCACCACCAGGAGUGGAGCCUGCGGCUUAAUUUGACUCAACACGGGAAAACUCACCCGGCCCGGACACUGGAAGGAUUGACAGAUCGAGAGCUCUUUCUUGAUUCAGUGGGUGGUGGUGCAUGGCCGUUCUUAGUUGGUGGAGUGAUUUGUCUGGUUAAUUCCGAUAACGAACGAGACUCUAGCCUACUAAAUAGAUCGUCGGCUUACAAACGCCGGCGAGACUUCUUAGAGGGACAGGCGGUGAUUCAACCGCACGAAACAGAGCAAUAACAGGUCUGUGAUGCCCAUAGAUGUCCGGGGCCGCACGCGCGCUACACUGAAGUGAUCAGCGUGCUUUUUCAACCUACUCUGUCAAGAGUGGGGAACCCAAUGAACCUUCUUCGUGAUUGGGAUAGGGGAUUGUAAUUAUUCCCCUUGAACGAGGAAUUCCCAGUAAGCGCGAGUCAUAAGCUCGCGUUGAUUACGUCCCUGCCCUUUGUACACACCGCCCGUCGCUACUACCGAUUGAAUGUUUUAGUGAGGUCUUCGGACUGGCCGGCGCAGCACUCUCGUAGUGCAGCGCUGUGUUUGGAAAGAUGUCCAAACUUGAACAUUUAGAGGAAGUAAAAGUC